Molecule: long non-coding RNA, 1118 nt
Filed under: Chrysolophus pictus (golden pheasant)
Lineage: Eukaryota; Metazoa; Chordata; Aves; Galliformes; Phasianidae
Description: lncRNA (ENSCPIG00010002156.1)
Source: RNAcentral
UUUUCUAUCAUUUUCUGCUUCAGAUUUAUUCCAGUGUUACAAAUGGAGAAAGAAAGGAAAGAGAACCUCCAGUGGAAAGAGAAAGAAAGGAAAGAGCGACAUAACUGGCAGUUCCCUGCUCAAAAGGAGAUGCUAGACGUUGUAAAGCAACUGCAUGAUAUGCAUGAAAGUUAUAACAAACUAAAAGAAGAUUUUGUCUAUAACCUCAGAAUUUUGGAAGAAAGAGAUAAAGAAUUGGAAUCCUAUGAUGUCACAUUCAGUCUUCUGAAAACGUCUGAAAACGCUAAGCAGGCAGAGAUUAGCAACCUUAAAAUACAGCUGGAUAAACUGGAGCAACUUCUUGUCAAGGAAAGAAGAAAAAGAGCUGAACUUCAUUAUCACUAUCAACAAAACCUUGUAGAACAUAAGUUAGAGCUGGAAUAGUUUUGCAGGUCAAAGAGCGGUCACACAAAUCAUCAACAUGAGGAGUGUGUGAGCCUGAGACAUCACAUGGAGAGAAAACUCCAAGAACUGCAAGGAGAGCUCGUUUGUCAGAAACAGGUGAAACUGCUGACCAGAGAACUGGAGGCCCUCAGAAUGACUGGAAUGAAAGCAUCAGAAUCAGCACAAGCAGCAGAAUUGGUUAAGCUGCAACUGGAGAAAGAGGACAAGUACAAGAAUUGGGAAUUAAAUGAUUCUGUAGCUGUGAGAAAUGCCUGGGAGAAAGAGCCAUCUCAUGUUGAUAAGAAAAAGGAUGCCUUGUCAGCUUCACUGGAAGAAGCUCCAAUCAAACAGUUUAAAAAACUGAAGAAACAGAUUAGAGAACUACAGAUGAGACAGAAAAGUCUGGAAGCAAAGCUGCGCAGGAAAGAAGGGAAUCACAGUGCUUGUGUAAGAGGUGAAGAUGCCCUUAUUAAAAAGUAUAAACAAGAAAUGUCAAUGGAAGCUGAGCAAGAACAGCUUCUGGAACAGAGUAAAACCCACGCAGAACUGGACUGGCAGCUCUGUGGGAAUGCUGAAAAUCACCAGGAUCAGAAAUCAGAGGAUCUAACUCCAAGUGUGUCUUUAGCACGAGAGCAGGUGAGAAGUUCCCAUUAACUAUUUAGGAACUGUUUGUUGCACAGAGAUCUAUGGAAUAU